This 240-nucleotide long non-coding RNA is filed under the name Phoenix dactylifera (date palm). RNAcentral's name for it is "long non-coding RNA (PDAC_LNC022978)". Lineage: Eukaryota; Viridiplantae; Streptophyta; Magnoliopsida; Arecales; Arecaceae. The record is from RNAcentral.
GUCUGUCCUAAGGAUGACUCUCUUCCACACCGGCCUGAGCUUAUAUCGUAGAUGCACCGCCCGUCUACUGCAGCCAACCUAGAGUCGUGAAUCGUGAUUCCAGAGAUCACAAGUCUCGUCCCUUCUGUAGUUCUGUGCCUUUUAUCACCGAGGCUAGUCUCAAAGUUCAUCCUGAGUUUGCCCGGGAGUGGCACCUAGACCUUUCAUCCUAUCUCCAUGCGUGCGCGACUGGAUGAGCGG